This is a long non-coding RNA of Sphaeramia orbicularis (orbiculate cardinalfish), 1381 nucleotides long. RefSeq lists it as uncharacterized. The transcript is spliced from 2 exons. The record is from RefSeq and is a predicted model, not a curated record. NCBI's taxonomy places the organism in Eukaryota, Metazoa, Chordata, Actinopteri, Kurtiformes, Apogonidae.
UAUAUAUAUAUAUAUAUAUAUAUAAAUAUAGUCAAAUGAAAGAAUGUUGUUUAGUUUAACAACUGACAUACAUGAAAUUGAGAAGAAAAUGAAAAAGAAAUGACUGCAGUGGUGAGUGUUGUGAUUUAAACCUGUACAUUGAAGUUCACCUGAGUUCAGUCCCUGUUUUCACCAAACCCCUCAGGUCAUGGCGUUCGACUGUUUCAUCGACUGAUCCCAGUUCUUUUACGUCUGACAUUGUCCUGAACGUUUCAGUGGAAGGCAGUAACAUUAAAUCUUUUCUGAAGCUUUUUGGUUUGUGUUGUGUUUAAUGUCUAGACGCAGAUCAGUAAAACCCACUGCUCGCAUUGGUGUCCUGAUUGGGGUCCUUCAGGUUUGUGUUUUUGUGCAAGUUCUAGAUCCUGUCUAGACGUGGCUGUGGUGUCAUCUCAUUUGUUGAUGGUUCAGACUCAGAGGAUGUGGUGGUUAACAGUAUCAAAUGCUGCAGUGAGGUCAAGGAGAAUGAGCAGGGAAGGGGUACCUGCAUCAACAGCCAUUCAAAUGUUGUGAAUGACCCUAACUAGUGCAGUGUCUGAGCUGAGGGCCGAGUGGAAGCCAGACUGGAAUUGUUCAUAGAGGGAGUGAAGUUGGAGAUGGUCAUGUAGCUGUGAGGCAACAGCUUUUUCCAACACCUUAGAGAGAAAAGGGAGAUGAGAAACGGGCCAGAAAGUGGAGAGGAGACCAGCGACCAAAUUGGGUUUUUUCAGAGAAGGUUUGAUGACAGCAGUUUUAAGUGAAGACAGAAAUUUCCAGACUGUAGUGAGUGGUUUAUAGUUAGUGUAAUAAGAGGGCUAAUGGCAGGCUGGGUUCGAUUUGAUGAGGGCUGUAGGGAAUAGGUCAAGUGCAGGUCAAUGGUUUAAUUUUUUGAUGAGACUUUCAACUUCGCUCCAUCUGACCUCAACAAAGACAUUGCCACACAGAGGUUGUAUGUGGUGCAGAUGAUGGAGAACAAGGGAUCGAGUUUGAGAAUUGAAACCAGAUUAUGUUGAUCUUAUCUUUGAAAAAUAUAAGGAAUUUGUCUCACUGUCCAGCUAUGGGAUCCAUGUGGCUUUGGCUUCAGGUGUUGAGGAGGGUGGUUUAUUAUUGAAAAAAAAACCUGUUUGGAGUUCCUGAACUGUGAUUGAUGAUGUUGGAGUAGAAGUUGGACCAAGCCUCCUUAAGGGACUUACAUAGACUUUCUGAUGUUGAUUAAAAUGCCAGCCUAUGUUACAGAGACCAGAUGACGGCUGUUCUCCUCGAUUGCACAGCCAGUAGCUUUUAUAAGCAGUAGAAGUAGGUUGAGUCGGUUCUGCAGAAUUCUUCAGUUGUUUUUAUCACUAAUAAAAAUACAGUCAGAUCAUUU